RNAcentral lists this ribosomal RNA (480 nucleotides) under uncultured bacterium. RNAcentral's name for it is "bacterial SSU rRNA". It matches the Rfam family "Bacterial small subunit ribosomal RNA", at positions 28 to 514 of the family's 1533-position model. The record is from RNAcentral.
GAUAAACGCUGGCGGCGCACAUAAGACAUGCAAGUCGAACGGACUUAACCAUUAGUUUACUAUUGGAGUGGUUAGUGGCGGACUGGUGAGUAACACGUAAGCAACCUGCCUAUCAGAGGGGAACAACAGUUAGAAAUGACUGCUAAUACCGCAUAUGCCAUAAUCACCACAUGGUGAUAGUGGGAAAGGAGCAAUCCGCUGAUAGAUGGGCUUGCGUCUGAUUAGAUAGUUGGUGGGGUAACGGCCUACCAAGUCGACGAUCAGUAGCCGAACUGAGAGGUUGAACGGCCACAUUGGGACUGAGAUACGGCCCAGACUCCUACGGGAGGCAGCAGUCGGGAAUAUUGCGCAAUGGAGGAAACUCUGACGCAGUGACGCCGCGUGCAGGAAGAAGGUUUUCGGAUUGUAAACUGCUUUAGACAGGGAAGAACAAAGACAGUACCUGUAGAAUAAGACUCCGGCUAACUACGUAGCCAGCAG